RNAcentral lists this long non-coding RNA (3619 nucleotides) under Homo sapiens (human). RNAcentral describes it as "HSALNT0131152". The record is from RNAcentral. Lineage: Eukaryota; Metazoa; Chordata; Mammalia; Primates; Hominidae.
UUGCCAAAGUUAAGGAUGUGUGCGUGGGAGACAGGACUAUGCCUUUCUCCAAAGAUGAUUUUGAGGGCUCCAAAUUCAAAAGGGAAAUCGAUGAGAGUCCUUUUCCAGCCAUACACAUAUGAAGGGCUUGCCCUCUUCCAUUGGGCACGGUGGCCUGAACACCAGGAUAUUUUUGGGAUAUAUAUAGCUAGGUAGGGAACACACACUCCAAAACUCAAUUCCCUAAAACAAGGACCAUUUCACUGUGCUCAGGAUCCUGUGGGAGGGGCACAGCAGGGGCUGCCUGAGCCUGUUCCACAACUCUCCCGCCCCAGCGGAGCGUGGCUUCCCUGGCUGGAGGUGACUGAGAUGGCCCCACAGGGUCCCAUGACCUCUCCAGGCCAUCCCUGUCUCCUGGGCUGGAAGAUGUGAGCUAGCCCUUCCCCAUGUCGGCUGGGGCUGCACUGACGGAAAGGGCUGGGGGCUGACCAGCGUUGCUCUGCCCACUUCUCUCUUCAGCGUGGGCUGGACUGUGCAUUCCCAGACACCAAGGUGGGUACUUCAAGCCUUCUGAUCACUGAGUCUCUGAAGUGACAUGUGUCGCCACCAUGGUGCUACUGGUGACACAAGGACAGGCAGCUCAGUGUUGGGGGAGCGUCCCACGCAUGACACUGAAGGUGUGGUCUCUUGGGGAGCCAUCUGGAGACCAGUUACUAGUCAUCUGGAGAUUGGUUACUAGUCAUCGGGAAACUGGUUAUUAGCCAUCUGGAGACUGGUUACUAGUCAUCUGGAAAUUGGUUACUAGCCAUUUGGAGACCAGGGUACUAGUCAUUUGGAGACUGGUUACUCGUCAUCUGGCAGUGGGUUACUAGUUUGGAGACUGAUUAAUUACUAGUCAUCUGAAGAUUAGUUAAUAGUCAUCUGGAGACUGGCUACUAGCCGUCUGGAGACUGGUUACAAGUCAUUCGGAGACUGGUUACUAGCCAUCUGGAGACUGGUUAGUUAUCAGUCAUCUGGAGACUGGUUAGUAGUCAUCUGGAGAUUGGCUACUAGUCAUGAUCUGGUUACUGAUCAUCUGAAGAUUGGUUACUAGCCAUCUGGCAAUUGGUUACAAUCAGUUACUAGUCAUCUGGAGACUGGUUACUAGUCAUCUGAAGAUUGGUUACUAGGCUUGUGGAGACUGGUUAGUGCACAGAAGCACUAUCCAGAGGUUGAACCUCAGAAACACCAAUUCACCAUCAGACACAGAGGCCAGUCCAAGUGCGCUUCUCGUCCGAUGCAUGCACCUGGUUCCCGUUCCAGCCGUCACACCCCAUUAGCCAAGGAGAGGAAUGAGAGUAAUAAUAAUUAAAUAGUAAUGAUGGGAAACAGUGCACAGUUAGGACAGGUGCUUGCACUGUGCUUGCCCAUGCCCGAUCCUGAGCUAAGUCCUGUGCAUAUACACACCCACUUUAUCCUCAGAAUGCCAACAGAAGACAGGUGCUGUCACUUCCUCCCUUCCACAGCAGAGGAGGGCAGAGCACAGAGGUUUCAGUAGCAUGACCAGGGUCUACCCCAGGCACAGGCUCCAACAUCGCGCCCUUAGCCACUGUGAGUUAUGGCAGGUGGUGCUGGGUCUCCUUUUACUUGGGCCUGUGGACAGAGCAGGGGGCUCAGGUGACACUUCCCACCCACCGGCCUUCUCUCUCUGCCGGCGACAUGCAGGGCCCCGAGCCGGGACUCUCCUGGGGCGCCCAGGACAGCUUUCCUCUUACGUAGGCGUCCCCUGUUCUUGCUGGGCAUUCCCCGCCUGCCCCUGCCUGCCCCCCACUCGGCCCAUCUGUUCCCAGGCCCUGAUCCCAGCCUCCAAGCCAGUCUUGCCAGCACACACGGACAGGAAAUGAUGGCACUUUUAAAGAUGCAACGCUUUUGUUUUGGAGUCACCUAUUGAGCCAAGACACGGGGACCUGGGCAACACGUGGUUUUGUGGAUUGGUGCUGGGAAGGGGUGGCCUGGGAAAGCUAAGGAUGGAGGAGAGGAAAAGGGAAGCUGCAGGCUGCUGUGAGGGGUACCCCUGGUCAAAUGGCACUUUGGGGAUGAGGAGACUUGGGAUCCACUUGUAACCCCAGCCGCACACUGCGGGGGAUCUCUGGGGACACUUCUGUCACUUGUAUUUUAUUGCACUAAGAGCCUAGAAGUUUGAUCUAAGAAUGGCAGAGUCAGCAGCCGGCACUGUGGAGCCCUGAUUUGUGGUAAAAAUACUGAAAUAUGGAAAUCCUCCCACACGAGUUUGUAGUAGCGCUGCAUGAGCCCCUCUCUUGGGUGUCCCCGCCCACUAAUAUCACCUCAUCAUCCGGCACCAGGGGAGCCAAAUACCUGACAUGGGGGAGCUUGGAGGGGGCUGUUCCAGCCCAAUGUGGGCAGCCCCAGCGGGUUGUGCCCCGAAGCUGUUAGUGCUCUGAACAUCACCUCUACUCUGAGGUAGGGUACUGUCGGGUGUGCUGGGCUGCAGGUGUCCUGGGCUGAGGGCAUAUGGUGUCAGGUGUGCUAGGCUGAGGUUGUGUGGGAGUCAGGUGUCCUGAGCUGCAGGUGUCCUGGGCUGAGGUUGCAGGAGUGUCAGGUGUGCUGGGCUAGGUUGUGGACAUCAGGUGUCCUGGGCUAGGUUGUGUGGGUGUCAGGUGUGCUGGGCUGCAGGUGUCCUGGGCUGAGGUUGUGCAGUGUCAGGCAUCCUGGCACCGCCUCUCCACCCAGGGCUGGGCCUGCUUCUGGAACCCCCUUGGGUUCUCUGGGGCUUUGGUGCUCACCACCCUGGUCUAGAAAUGGAAUGCCGGCACGGGUUUCAGAACAAGGGCUCUGAAGCCACAUGACCCUAGGUUUGAAUGGUAAAUGUACUUUUAAUGUGAUCUUGAGAAUUUUUCUUCAACCUCUGUAGCUCUGUUUUCUUACCUCUAAUAGGCCUAUGGCAAGGAUUAGAUGAAAUUAGCACAAAGCGGGAUCUUCCAAAUCCUCCUCCUGGUCUUAAGGUACCUAGGGACUGGUUAAAAGUAGGUUCUUGGACACCCCUAAGACCUGCUAAGUCAGACCCCCGGGUGUGGGGGGCAGUGCAGCCAGCCAGGCCCGGGAAGCCCGGGCCGCGUGUCUCCCCAGCGUUCUCCAGCUCUCAGCAGCACCCGCACUGCAGCUGGGCUCCCUGCGCCUGGAGCCCCGGGUGCUACCCCCGACCACCACCGUGUGGUGCUGGCGCUGGGUGACUCACACUCUGCCAGCUGUGCCCCAAGCAAAGCCUCCGCGAUGGUUGCGGGCUGAAUCAAUUGUGUCCUCCAGAUUCAUAAGCUGCCGGUCGAACUCCCAGGACCUCAGAAUGUGGCUUUAUGUGGAGCUGGGGUCUCUACGGCGGCCAGUAAGGUAUAAUGAGGUCAUGUGGGUGGGCCCUGAUCCAGCAGGACUGGUGUCCUUCCAAGAAGAGAAGAUGAGGAUACAGCCGUGCACGCGGGGACAGUCAGGAAGGCUGAUGCCAGCAUACCACUGAGAGGGUCAUCUAAGUCCAGCUCAAGGUCCUCAAAGCCCACAGUUGCUGCAGUCAUAGAAGAGGAUCUCAAGCAGUGGAUUCAUUCUGCCUCCUUCCGCCAAGCGAGUAAAAAUCUCAUUCACAGGACAAUCA